RNAcentral lists this long non-coding RNA (2223 nucleotides) under Elaeis guineensis (African oil palm). RNAcentral's name for it is "long non-coding RNA (EGUI_LNC069738)". The record is from RNAcentral. Lineage: Eukaryota; Viridiplantae; Streptophyta; Magnoliopsida; Arecales; Arecaceae.
GGCCUACAAAUCCGAAAACUUAGACGGCAUGAAAAUUCUUCGAAUUUGAAACAUCGAGAAUCUACGGAUAUAUUACCAAUAAAAAUAUCUUGUCAAUAAAAGGUCCUCUUUUCUACAAUUCUGUGUGAAAUAGUCCGAGUACUCAGUAUUACACCUCGUCGGCUAGUACCUGAGGAAAUGUUAUUCGGCUAGUACUCAGUCCAAAAAGGUCCAGCAAACACAAGCGUGCUUGCCACGACCGUAGGAGUUUAAGCUACAGUUUGCACGUAAGACCUAGGUAAAAAAAUUAUGGUUAGUCGGCUUGCUACCUAUUGACCAAAGACCAAUCGGUUCAAAAUAAAAUAGAGUGGUUAUUCAGCUUGCCACCGAUUGACCAAGGAUCAAUUGAUCCAAAAUCAACUAAGUUCCAAUCCGACAGAACAGUCUAUGAUGAAUGAUCUACAGCUAUAACUCGAAUCCACCUAAGACAAUCUACAAGACCGACUAUGAGACUUAGAAAUUUUCUUAAGUCUGUUCGUUCGAUUAUGGUUUGCUUGACUUGCCACCCCUGAUUGCUUUAAUCUUCCGACUACGUUACCUAGUCAUUUUUACAGGAAGGCAACUCAAAGAGUAAAAAAAGAAGGCAUGCAAGCAAACACAAAAACAAGUCGGAUAUGCGAGGAAAAUCACUUCAUUACCAAAAAAGAGUUCAUUACAAAAGGCAUUCAUUACAAAGUUCAUUACAAAAAGCAGAGAGCCCAAGGGGCCGAAGGAUGAUCUUCUUCAGCAUCUGUCUCUUCAUUGCUUCUGACUCUUUGUCGGCCCGAAUUUUGCUCAGAUCCAGCUUGGGCUGCAGUCGGCCGUGGCCUUCUUACAAUCGUCAAACCCGAGCUGAUAUGCAUCCACAGAGGCAUCGGUGAGUUCCUCAUCAUACUCCUUAGACUUGUGAAACUAAGCCAAUGUCCGAGAAGCUAUCUCCUGGGCCUGAGUCUCUGCUGCUGACAAACUCUACUUUAGCUCCUUGACAGCCUUCUCGGCCUCCUGUUGUCUGCCCUUUUCUCUGUCGAGGGUGCUCUCUAUCGACUCCUUUUUCUUUUGAUAAUCGACCUUUAGCUUCUCAAAAUCCUCCCUCUUUCUGGGAGUCAGCCCUCAGCUUUUCGAACUCCACCUUGUCUUUCUCCCGCUGGGCCUCCGAGGAUGCCAACUCGAUCUCCAGCAAAAAAAAUUUCUCCCGACUCUUCCUCUCCCGCUCCUUAGCAAUGUGGAAAAGCUCGUCAGCGACUUCGACCCGAGCAUGUGCAGUCUGGGCCUUGUCUUUAAUUCACACGGCUCAACACCUCAUACAAAACUAUCACAUCGUGCAUCAUCUGCAAAAAAAAAUCAAUUAAGCCAUUUAGUCGGUCUAGCACUAUUCUGGGAAUAUACCGGAGGAAGGCGGACGGAGACUUACCAAUAGCAACGACGUGUAAGAGCCUGACAAAAUCUCCACAACUAAGUGGGCCUUCUUGACUUUUCAAUCCGUGGGCAGCAUCACCAUCUUCACUAGCUCCUCGAUAAGCCAGCGAUCCUAGAGCGCUUGAUCAGUCGUCUUAAUGCACAACCCCAAGGUGAUGGUGGCCUCUCCAAAAGGAGUGUCCAGACCAUAGUCGACAGUGAAGGCAGGGGCCUUCCCCUCAUCGGCAAGGGCCUUCUCCUUGUCGACACUUUUUUGACUAAGCACCCGAUCACCACUCAUCCCUGUCUUGGCCGACAUGGCCUGGAUCGCUUCUACCGACCUAGCCGGGGGAUCGACGACAACAACGUCAUCAUCCAUGACAACAACGGUGGGGAUCAUGACGUCAGUGAUGAAAGGUGGUGGCAAAGAUCACUCUGACGAUGGUUGGGGUAGCAAUGCCCGCUACGUGCUCCUUGGCAUCCCAAAAGGAAACCCUUCUCUCGACUUCUUUAGUGGCCGAGAGGGACUGUCGGGCCCGAACACCGUCUUCUUCUUUCUCUUGACGGCCUGCCAGAGGGACUCUGACGUAACUCUCAUGCCUGUAAGACGACAACAGAGACUAGUUAGUCCAUCGAGAAAAGAAGGAAAGAAAGGAAAGCCAUAGUGAUCUACAAGAAAAGAACCUAGGUGAUUGGUCGGGCUUAUCCCAGCAUUGUACAAUGACUGUUCCUCUAGGAGCUUCCACUGCGUAGGGACCAAGACGUCGAACAGCGUACUGCUCUCGAUGUUCAGCCAGAACCACAUCAUUC